AUAAGGUGAGAAGCUCAGUCAUCCGUGGGGAGCUCAGAAUAGAGCCACUACUCCUUUGUGUUGAAAUGCGGCAGCUCAGGUGGUUCGGGCAUCUGGUAAGGAUGAUCCCUGGGCAUCUUCCUAGGGAGGUGUUCCAGGCAUGUACAGCUGGGAGGAGACUCUGGGGAAGAUCCAGGCCUAGCGCAUUUGGAAAGGAUG
Long non-coding RNA from Thalassophryne amazonica, 198 nucleotides. RefSeq lists it as uncharacterized. Lineage: Eukaryota; Metazoa; Chordata; Actinopteri; Batrachoidiformes; Batrachoididae. The transcript has 3 exons. The record is from RefSeq and is a predicted model, not a curated record.